GCCCCGGUGGCCUAAUGGAUAAGGCAUUGGCCUCCUAAGCCAAGGGUUGUGGGUUCGAGUCCCACCCGGGGUG
This is a non-coding RNA of Ciona savignyi (Pacific transparent sea squirt), 73 nucleotides long. The record is from Rfam. NCBI's taxonomy places the organism in Eukaryota, Metazoa, Chordata, Ascidiacea, Phlebobranchia, Cionidae.